AUGUGUGCAUAUCUUAGAUCUCCUAUCAAGCCAACACUCUCAUAAGCCUUACUUUCAAAUCCACCUUCCGUCUCCUUUACAGUCAACCUCCGUAUAAAUGGCUUUAUUGUAACUCACCUUUCCUUAAACAUAAACUACACCUUGACCUGUCAUCUUUUCUAUAAACAUCUUGAACAUCACUUCCCAACAUCUCCUUAUGACGGCGGUAUAUAGGCCUGAAUUUAAGUUAGUUAAAAUGGGGACUAUCAAUUAAAAGACAAGUUCCUCUGAUAAGAUAAAAUACCGCCAAAUUCUUAGAGUUUACU
This 305-nucleotide ribosomal RNA is filed under the name Teloganodidae gen. B sp. LLPDC-2017. RNAcentral describes it as "partial 12S ribosomal RNA". Lineage: Eukaryota; Metazoa; Arthropoda; Insecta; Ephemeroptera; Teloganodidae. The record is from RNAcentral.